UAGUUGAUCUGGCUCAGGAUGAACGCUAGCGAUAGGCUUAACACAUGCAAGUCGAGGGGCAGCACGGUGUAGCAAUACACUGGUGGCGACCGGCGUACGGGUGCGUAACACGUAUGACAACCUACCCGCUAUUGGGGGAUAACCCGGCGAAAGUCGGACUAAUACCCCAUAUUAUUCUUACCGGGCAUCCGGUAGGUCUGAAAGAUUUAUCGAUUGCGGAUGGGCAUGCGGAUGAUUAGCUAGUAGGUGGGGUAACGGCUCACCUAGGCGACGAUCAUUAGGGGUUCUGAGAGGAAGGUCCCCCCACACUGGAACUGAGACACGGUCCAGACUCCUACGGGAGGCAGCAGUGAGGAAUAUUGGUCAAUGGGCGCUAGCCUGAACCAGCCAAGUCGCGUGAAGGAUGAACCAGAUCUAUGGUUUGUAAACUUCUUUUGCAGGGGGAGUAAAGUGCGACACGUGUGUUGUAUUGCAAGUACCCUGCGAAUAAGCAUCGGCUAACUCCGUGCCAGCCGCGGC
RNAcentral lists this ribosomal RNA (519 nucleotides) under uncultured bacterium. Its description in RNAcentral is "bacterial SSU rRNA". It matches the Rfam family "Bacterial small subunit ribosomal RNA", at positions 9 to 518 of the family's 1533-position model. The record is from RNAcentral.